This is a long non-coding RNA of Cyprinodon variegatus (sheepshead minnow), 1581 nucleotides long. RefSeq lists it as uncharacterized. The transcript has 6 exons. The record is from RefSeq and is a predicted model, not a curated record. NCBI's taxonomy places the organism in Eukaryota, Metazoa, Chordata, Actinopteri, Cyprinodontiformes, Cyprinodontidae.
CGGUGGAAGUAUUUGCAAUGGGUGAGUUUUAAUCUACAUUUUAUACUCGAUGUAAAAAGAGAGACCCAGAUCCGCUAAUGUUAAGAGCACUCGAAAUAAAUACACAUUCGAGGCAUUGUGAAAAAUGUUUUUUGUCUUUGACUUCCUAUAGUUAGCACAGUUAGCAUUAGGGAGCUAGCUGCUCACAGCUAAUCAUGGUCUGAUUUUCUUUUAGGCUCGUUUUUAGGGCCGCAAUCUUCGAAAUAACUCCGAAUUGUGUUAUAAGGAAUCAUUAUGUGCCUUGUUUAAAGCUGUAAUAAUUUCUAGCCCCUACUUUAAAAUGUUUUAUUUCCAGGAUAACACGUGGCCAGGCUGCGGAUCGAAACCCGGAUCUAACCGUUUAAAAUUAAUAUUUUCCAUCAGUGCUUAAAGACACGAUUGACUAAUAAUCAUCCCCGAUUAAGAAACAUUAUCUUAAUACGUUAUUAUGGGGAUCAGUUUGUCAAAUUCUAAUCCUAGUGGAUAAAACAGUGUGUCCAAAAUAAUAUAAAUGAGCACUGAGCAUAUUGAUGCAAACCAAAGAUUUCUUUAGACUGAAAACCCUAAUAUAUGGCGGUCAGUAGGUUUCCCCGUUAACCACAUCCUGCUCUUGUUCAUCUGGGAUUCUCCAGCUCUGUGGACCAAUUCCAGGGCAGCAGUGGUGAGAGAAAUGUCAGGUUUUGCUUUCACAUCUGCAGUAUUGGUUGCAGAAAAGUGACAAUGAGGCCUGAGACAGUAAUUAUUCAUGGAUUCCAUUGUUUCUGUUUUAAAACUGCUUUAAAGUCUUACUAAAAUACAACAUUGAUAUUUAAAAUGUGUACAAGCACACUAGAACCAAUGCAAAAAAAUAAACUAUUUUUGUUUUUCCUCUUAUAGGGAAUAAACCAGAACUGGACCAUCAUGCCAAUAAAUCACCCUGUCACUUGGUGGUGAACUAUUUGGAGAUCUGGUGCCCUGGAUGACCUCACAACUCCUGGGUUCAGCCAUCUUGAUUCACUGAUGUGAGAUCGCAUAUCUGCUUGCUGUCAGAUAAACAUGUCCAACUUCAGAGUGCUACUUGGUCUGCAUCGUGGUGCCAGGAUGACUUGCAUUUGGAUGUAGCAGCUGCCUGAGUCGUAGAAGCUUGGGGUGUUAAGGGUCCAGCUGAAGCAGAUUGCCUGAGACUGAUGCAUGGUGACUCUUCGUCUGCAUCUGAGGUCAGUUUUUCACCUGAAAUCUAAUGACUAUAUCCCCCUAUUGAUUUAUCCCCAUUUCCUAAAUUAAGUCUUUACCUUGUAUGCAAAAGUAGAUUUUUUUUUUUUUUUUUUUCAUAAACUGUUUUUAUGUUUGGUGUUUAAAAGUAGAAUGUGAAGCUUUUCUGUAUGUUUGGUCAUAUACCAAGGCUUUCAGGAUCUCAUCUUCCUGCUUUGCUGUGGACUUGACCAGAAAUUAAACCAUCCCAGUACGCCUCUGCAGCAGUGUUUGUAGAGAACCUAUUGGGAACAUGUAAAAGUGAAUUAACUGUCCUAAAGUGUUAUAUCAACAGUACAAUUGUCUGUCUAAAUGCUGAACUUUCUGUUUAUA